Molecule: ribosomal RNA, 492 nt
Filed under: uncultured bacterium
Lineage: Bacteria
Description: partial 16S ribosomal RNA
Rfam family: Bacterial small subunit ribosomal RNA
Source: RNAcentral
AGUGAACGCUGGCGGUAGGCCCAACACAUGCAAGUCGAACGGCAGCACAGUAAGAGCUUGCUCUUACGGGUGGCGAGUGGCGGACGGGUGAGGAAUACAUCGGAAUCUACUUUUUCGUGGGGGAUAACGUAGGGAAACUUACGCUAAUACCGCAUACGACCUACGGGUGAAAGCAGGGGAUCUUCGGACCUUGCGCGAUUGAAUGAGCCGGUGUCGGAUUAGCUAGUUGGCGGGGUAAAGGCCCACCAAGGCGACGAUCCGUAGCUGGUCUGAGAGGAUGAUCAGCCACACUGGAACUGAGACACGGUCCAGACUCCUACGGGAGGCAGCAGUGGGGAAUAUUGGACAAUGGGCGCAAGCCUGAUCCAGCCAUACCGCGUGGGUGAAGAAGGCCUUCGGGUUGUAAAGCCCUUUUGUUGGGAAAGAAAAGCAGCAGGUUAAUACCCCGCUGUUCUGACGGUACCCAAAGAAUAAGCACCGGCUAACUUCGUG